Molecule: ribosomal RNA, 312 nt
Filed under: uncultured bacterium
Lineage: Bacteria
Description: bacterial SSU rRNA
Rfam family: Bacterial small subunit ribosomal RNA
Source: RNAcentral
UAGAAAGUCACGGCUAACUACGUGCCAGCAGCCGCGGUAAUACGUAGGUGGCAAGCGUUAUCCGGAUUUAUUGGGCGUAAGAGAGUGCAGGCGGUUUUCUAAGUCUGAUGUGAAAGACCUUCGGCUUAACCGGAGAAGUAGCAUCGGAAACUAGGAUAACUUGAGUGCAGAAGAGGGUAGUGGAACUCCAUGUGUAGCGGUGGAAUGCGUAGAUAUAUGGAAGAACACCAGUGGCGAAGGCGGCUACCUGGUCUGCAACUGACGCUGAGACUCGAAAGCAUGGGUAGCGAACAGGAUUAGAUACCCUGGUAG